GUUAGUGCCCACAGAGUUAGGGCUAACAAAACAGCCUUGGAUUUUCUUUGGCCCACCGGUGGGAAUCUACGCCAUUGCAAAUACACCGGAUCAAUACCAAAGGCUAAGGUAUCUGCCAAAUGCUCCACUUGCAGAGUACACAGAUGCUGCGAUGCUGGAAAAAUCCUUGAAGCAGAGCCUCCCUGAGUCCAUAAAGUCCAAACAGGAGAUGACAGAUGAUCUUGAUCACUACACCAAUACUUACCAGAUAUCAAGAAAUGUCAGGAACUCCUUGGCUCACCAGAAGUCAUCAACUGGAAACAACAUUUGCAGAUUCAAAGUACACAGUCCAAACAGGAUGAAGUGAUAGAAAGUCUUGUAGCUAUUAAAGCCUGCAAGGUCAUAAAAACACAGUGCUUUCUCUAUGUGGUUUCUGAGGCAUCAAAGAAAUUGGCUCUUUCUCUGCUGAAUGCAAAGAAGUUACCACCCAGUGGUGGCAAACACACG
This is a long non-coding RNA of Manis pentadactyla (Chinese pangolin), 486 nucleotides long. RefSeq lists it as uncharacterized. The record is from RefSeq and is a predicted model, not a curated record. The transcript has 4 exons. NCBI's taxonomy places the organism in Eukaryota, Metazoa, Chordata, Mammalia, Pholidota, Manidae.